RNAcentral lists this ribosomal RNA (334 nucleotides) under uncultured bacterium. Its description in RNAcentral is "bacterial SSU rRNA". It matches the Rfam family "Bacterial small subunit ribosomal RNA", at positions 28 to 334 of the family's 1533-position model. The record is from RNAcentral.
GACGAACGCUGGCGGCGUGCCUAACACAUGCAAGUCGAACGGAGAUAAGCGCUGAUUUGAUGAUAGCUUGCUAUUGGAUUUUCUUGCUUAUCUUAGUGGCGGACGGGCGAGUAACGCGUGAGCAACCUGCCCUUCAGAGGGGAACAACAGUUGGAAACGACUGCUAAUACCGCAUAACGUGCCUUGAGGGCAUCCUCGAGGCACCAAAGAUUUAUCGCUGAAGGAUGGGCUCGCGUCCGAUUAGAUAGUUGGUGAGGUAACGGCUCACCAAGUCGACGAUCGGUAGCCGAACUGAGAGGUUGAUCGGCCGCAUUGGGACUGAGACACGGCCCAG